Molecule: long non-coding RNA, 301 nt
Organism: Cyprinodon tularosa
Lineage: Eukaryota; Metazoa; Chordata; Actinopteri; Cyprinodontiformes; Cyprinodontidae
Exons: 5
Source: RefSeq, a predicted model, not a curated record
UGUUGUUGUGACUUGGUUUUAUUCUGUGUAUUUUACUUCUCAGAUCUGCUCUAAAAGAAAAGGAACAAGAAAAUGAAGCCUUGGAGAGAAGCAUAAAAGAGAUAAAUAUGCAAGUUCAAAGAACAAGAUCUGAACUUGACACUAAGAAUGACGAAAAUGAAAAACUUAUUCAAAGAAUUCAACAAACUGAAGCCUUUUACCAACAGCACCAUCAUAAAAAAGAAUCUGCUUUAAAAGAAAAGGAAAAGGAAAAUCAAGACUUGGAGAGAAGGUACAGUUAUUCAUAGAUGUGAAGCAUUUC